Molecule: ribosomal RNA, 555 nt
Filed under: Odorrana livida (green cascade frog)
Lineage: Eukaryota; Metazoa; Chordata; Amphibia; Anura; Ranidae
Description: partial 16S ribosomal RNA
Rfam family: Bacterial large subunit ribosomal RNA
Source: RNAcentral
CGCCUSSUGACCGAACAUAGGAGGUCCAGCCUGCCCAGUGACAACAUUCAACGGCCGCGGUAUACUAACCGUGCGAAGGUAGCAUAAUCACUUGUUCUUUAAAUAAGGACUUGUAUCAACGGCAUCACGAGGACUAUACUGUCUCCCCUCUCCAAUCAGUGAAACUGAUCUCCCCGUGAAGAAGCGGGGAUUAGUAUAUAAGACGAGAAGACCCCAUGGAGCUUUAAACCCAAUAUACACCCCUUCGCUCAAGCACCAAUUUAACCUCAAGAGCCUGUAUAUUGGUUUUAGGCUGGGGGGGCCACGGAGUAAAAUUAAACCUCCACAACAAAUGGGCUAAUUACCCUUAUCCACGACUUACAAAUCUAAGAAUCAUCAAAAUGAUGUUUAAUGACCCGAUAAUUCGAUCAUUGAACCAAGUUACCCUGGGGAUAACAGCGCAAUCCGCUUCAAGAGCCCAUAUCGACAAGCGGGUUUACGACCUCGAUGUUGGAUCAGGGUACCCCAGUGGUGCAACCGCUACUAACGGUUCGUUUGUUCAACGAUUAAAACCCU